RNAcentral lists this ribosomal RNA (280 nucleotides) under uncultured prokaryote. RNAcentral's name for it is "partial 16S ribosomal RNA". It matches the Rfam family "Bacterial small subunit ribosomal RNA", at positions 524 to 801 of the family's 1533-position model. The record is from RNAcentral.
CACGGGGUUGCGAGCGUUGUCCGGAAUUACUAGGCGUAAAGGGCAGGCAGGCGGAUCCAUAAGUUUAUCGUUUAAGGCGUCGGCUUAACCGGCGUAGGGCGGUAGAUACUGUGGAUCUGGAAUGCGGUUGGGGAAGACAGAAUUCCUGGUGUAGCGGUGGAAUGCGCAGAGAUCAGGAGGAAUACCGAAGGCGAAGGCAGUCUUCCAAGCCGUUAUUGACGCUCAACUGCGAAGGUGUGGGUAUCAAACAGGGAUUUAGAUACCCCGGGUAGUCCCUGAG